GCUGGGCGCGGUGGCACAUGCCUGUAAUCCAGAGCUCUCGGGAGGCUGAGGCAGGAGGAUCUCGAGUUUAAAGCCAGCCUCAU
Molecule: small RNA, 83 nt
Filed under: Marmota monax (woodchuck)
Lineage: Eukaryota; Metazoa; Chordata; Mammalia; Rodentia; Sciuridae
Source: RNAcentral